AAAUUGGACUAUGUUUAAGCUAUAAUAUUUUAUUAUCCUUUUAUUUUUUAUAGUGUAUUCGGCUGCUGGUGUUGGUUACAGUUCACAUCUCUACAGGUUUGGUUUAGCUUCAGUAAGUAGAUAAUUCUCUCUUUUCAUACUGAAACAGUUAUUCCUACAACAGAAACAGAACUCAUUGUUUCCUCCCUAGGACGUCUCAAACGAAGCACAGCAGAGAGAUCUCACCAUGCCUCCUACCUGGUUUGAUGUUGACCAUUAUUAUGGGCCACCUGGACAUGCUGAUUGGUCAGACACGGUCAGACUGUCCAUCUUCCUUGUUUAUAGUGAGUGUGUGGGACUGCCAGCUCUGGGUUGGGCUUUUCGUGUUCUCUACCGUCAUCAGAAAAACGAGGGAAGACGUUUGGACGUUGCCUCUCUUCUCCUCCACAACAACAUAGUAGAACUACUUCUGAAUCUGUUCAUCAUUACUGCGCUACUUCAGUAUGACAUUUGUAUUCCAAUUGGGGUAAUAUGUCGCAUAUUUACAUCUUUUUGGUGGGGAUCAAGAAUGUGCGGUGUUCUCCUUCAGCAGAUGGUCGUGUUGAAGAGAAUUCUUGGUUUAAGACAUCCGUUCUGCUCUGCUCAUGUUUUCUUUCCUCGCAGCUCCAUCAUAGUUUAUCUCAUUGUGUUCAUAUUUCUUUUUCUGUGUGAAUUACCUGCACCGCGACGACAUCUACUAAUCAGUGUGAUGUCACUGCUACCAGUGUUAGCCGUGACGAUCACCUCAUGGAUAUUCACCCGCACAAUGCCCCCCAUUAAACACCACAGCUCCAACAGAGCCGAGAAUCAGGACUACACAGUGUUGGCUUUCUCCACGCUCACAGCGGCUCUGUAUACGAUUAGUGUUGUUCUGUGCGGUUUGGAGAUUUGGAGUCUGUGGAUGAUGAGUUUGUGUCUGUUGAGUUUGAGAGUGAUCACAGACGCCCCGCUGUGUGUUCUGAUCUGCAGAGAGAAACACUCACAGACUCACACAGACCCCAGUNNNNNNNNNNNNNNNN
Molecule: long non-coding RNA, 1037 nt
Filed under: Astyanax mexicanus (Mexican tetra)
Lineage: Eukaryota; Metazoa; Chordata; Actinopteri; Characiformes; Acestrorhamphidae
Description: lncRNA (ENSAMXG00005001930.1)
Source: RNAcentral